This 489-nucleotide ribosomal RNA is filed under the name uncultured bacterium. RNAcentral describes it as "partial 16S ribosomal RNA". It matches the Rfam family "Bacterial small subunit ribosomal RNA", at positions 30 to 507 of the family's 1533-position model. The record is from RNAcentral.
UUGAACGCUGGCGGCAGGCCUAACACAUGCAAGUCGCACGGUAACAGGAAACAGCUUGCUGUUUCGCUGACGAGUGGCGGACGGGUGAGUAAUGUCUGGGAAACUGCCUGAUGGAGGGGGAUAACUACUGGAAACGGUAGCUAAUACCGCAUAACGUCGCAAGACCAAAGAGGGGGACCCUCGGGCCUCUUGCCAUCGGAUGUGCCCAGAUGGGAUUAGCUUGUUGGUGGGGUAACGGCUCACCAAGGCGACGAUCCCUAGCUGGUCUGAGAGGAUGACCAGCCACACUGGAACUGAGACACGGUCCAGACUCCUACGGGAGGCAGCAGUGGGGAAUAUUGCACAAUGGGCGCAAGCCUGAUGCAGCCAUGCCGCGUGUAUGAAGAAGGCCUUCGGGUUGUAAAGUACUUUCAGCGGGGAGGAAGGGAGUAAAGUUAAUACCUUUGCUCAUUGACGUUACCCGCAGAAGAAGCACCGGCUAACUCCGUG